RNAcentral lists this ribosomal RNA (468 nucleotides) under uncultured bacterium. RNAcentral's name for it is "partial 16S ribosomal RNA". It matches the Rfam family "Bacterial small subunit ribosomal RNA", at positions 28 to 507 of the family's 1533-position model. The record is from RNAcentral.
GACGAACGCUGGCGGCGUGCUUAACACAUGCAAGUCGAACGGAAAGGCCCUGCUUUUGUGGGGUGCUCGAGUGGCGAACGGGUGAGUAACACGUGAGUAACCUGCCCUUGACUUUGGGAUGACUUCAGGAAACUGGGGCUAAUACCGGAUAGGAGCUCCUGCUGCAUGGUGGGGGUUGGAAAGUUUCGGCGGUUGGGGAUGGACUCGCGGCUUAUCAGCUUGUUGGUGGGGUAGUGGCUUACCAAGGCUUUGACGGGUAGCCGGCCUGAGAGGGUGACCGGCCACAUUGGGACUGAGAUACGGCCCAGACUCCUACGGGAGGCAGCAGUGGGGAAUAUUGCACAAUGGGCGGGAGCCUGAUGCAGCAACGCCGCGUGCGGGAUGACGGCCUUCGGGUUGUAAACCGCUUUCGCCUGUGACGAAGCGUGAGUGACGGUAAUGGGUAAAGAAGCACCGGCUAACUACGUG